Molecule: long non-coding RNA, 1302 nt
Filed under: Olea europaea subsp. europaea
Lineage: Eukaryota; Viridiplantae; Streptophyta; Magnoliopsida; Lamiales; Oleaceae
Source: RNAcentral
UUUAAACGUCGGUUAUCGUCCAUUGGAAAUGUAUGUAGCUCUAGAUUCGAGGAACUUUGUUAAACUCCAAAGUGCAUACCAUAUAAUUUAGCUAAUAUCCAAUGCACUAGCAGGGCACAAGGUACAUAAAUUAAGACAUCCAGUGAUAUUAAAACCAACCAAUGUACUGCACUAAACUAAUUGACCAAAUUGAGAAUCACAGCUUCAAGAAAAUUCACAUAACUACUUCACCAAAAAUCAUACUAGUCCAGAUUGAAGAGGAUACAAAAUGUCAUGCAUUAUAUACAGAAAUAUACGAAAGCCCAUGUUGCCAGCCAAACAUUAACCACAAAUCAAAUCGUCUCUACCCCCUUCAUUUCCUUCGACAUGUGAUUUAUCCUAUCACAUUCACAUUCAAGAAAUCAAGAGUUCUUCUUCAUUAUUUAGCCAAACUUGAGAUUGGAACAUUCGCAACAUAUCUUAAACCUCUUUGUGCACCAUUGGUUUAGUUAAGGUAACUCUAUCGUUACACGAUUCACUGAUUGCUUCUCCAUCUUUGAAUUGAUCCUAAAACCCACAUUUCUCACUGCAACAUUUGAAGAAUUUACCUUUGUUAACAUUGUCCUUUUCAACUGUGAAAACUUUUGAAAUACGUGUAUACAACGUGGGCAUUGACACUUUAUUGGGCAAUCGCCGAAGAAGUAUCCAACACUCCUGCAACCAGUGCAAGCUUUGGAGUUAUUUCUCGGUAUUCUGUGUUGUUGAAUACAUUAAAAAAAUCAUUAUUAGCAUUUUUCUAUCAAAUAUUAGGGGAUGUAAGCUUAAUAGUAAAGUCCACAUUAAAGCAUAAGAAGUGUUUUUUCUCCUACAACCAAUUCUAAUAUGAUAAGCAAAAAUCAAAAACCAAUGUCAAUUAAAAAAUCGAUGGAAGAACCAAGAACAAAUGUCAAAAUUGUACAAAUAAAAUCUUAGUGUUGGCAAAGACAAGAACGAGGAGAAAAUGUUAAAAUUGCACAAAUAACAUCUUAGCACUUAGCAAAGCAAAGAAGUCAGUGGAAGUGAAGCAUUGAGAGAUGAGGGAUGCCAAUCGAUUAUUUCGUGGCGAUCAAGUGUUAAGACACGACAUCGGCUUUGAUGACUAUGCAGAGUAAGGCGAAAGAGAGUACAUAUCAGAGAGGAAGAGACUGUCGAAGAUUAGGAGACUAUCAGAGCUGAGCGAUGUCGGAGAUGAAUGCUUUGGAGUUGAAUAUCUUGUGAGAAAAUGGAAAGAGGAGGGAGUAGGGUUUGAUUUGGGGGAAAAUUGGUAAAGAAAGUGAGAACGUG